RNAcentral lists this ribosomal RNA (427 nucleotides) under uncultured bacterium. RNAcentral's name for it is "bacterial SSU rRNA". It matches the Rfam family "Bacterial small subunit ribosomal RNA", at positions 355 to 774 of the family's 1533-position model. The record is from RNAcentral.
UGGGGAAUUUUGGACAAUGGGCGCAAGCCUGAUCCAGCCAUGCCGCGUGCAGGAUGAAGGCCUUCGGGUUGUAAACUGCUUUUGUACGGAACGAAAAGACUCCUUCUAAUAAAGGGGGUCCAUGACGGUACCGUAAGAAUAAGCACCGGCUAACUACGUGCCAGCAGCCGCGGUAAUACGUAGGGUGCGAGCGUUAGUCGGAAUUACUGGGCGUAAAGCGUGCGCAGGCGGUUAUAUAAGACAGAUGUGAAAUCCCCGGGCUCAACCUGGGAACUGCAUUAGUGACUGUAUAGCUAGAGUACGGCAGAGGGGGAUGGAAUUCCGCGUGUAGCAGUGAAAUGCGUAGAUAUGCGGAGGAACACCGAUGGCGAAGGCAAUCCCCUGGGCCUGUACUGACGCUCAUGCACGAAAGCGUGGGGAGCAAACA